UGUAUCCGUCCUGCCUGACCACCCGCACGGCGCCGUUGUCCUCAAGGACCACUCGCUGGCGGCCCAACCUCCAACUCCUCCCCGAACAAGGUUAAUGCUCUAGUCUUUAGCCUCUUCUCCCGCCUUCAUUUUUUUUUCCUCCGGAUCUGGAGCUGCGAGCGAUUAGAAAGGGGUGAUUUAGCUACGUGUGAGCGUAUCAACUUUUUCAGGGAACAUAUCUUGACAUUAAUUUGUGGAACUUGUUAAUUCCGUGAGAAUUUAGUAUGGCUAGCACAUGGAUGUAUGCUUCCACUAAUGUACGCCUAUUUGGAAAUUAGAACCAGGGCAAAGAAUGAGCAAAUACUCCACCUGUUUAUGUACGUUUGUCUUCUUUCAUGUAACAGAGUUCGGAGAUUCACAACGUAGGAAAGGAGGGGAGUUCUCAAAGUACUGAACUUUGCACAACAUAAUUCACCCUUUUACAUGCUUAGCCACAACAUAAUUUUUUCUUAACUAAUUUAUAAUUUCAAAUGUUUUUCCAGGCCCAGUUCUCAUUGAAAAACACCAAGAACAUCAUGGGAAUACGUGAGGUUUUUGCUCCUAAUUUUUUUAUUUGACUGCAAUGCCGUUACAUAGAUAGCUCUCACUUUCGGUUUCUCUGUGGAUUUAAAUUCUGAUCCUGUGAUGUUUUUCCUGGUGCUCAUAUUAACUCUGUCAUAACUGAUGUAAGUCAUUUUUUUCCAAAUAUAACUGAUGUAAGUCUUGGUGUUUUAGAAUCUCUCUUUAUGUAUGUUUGACACCAGUCAACUUUUUAUUGAGCCAUGAUGCCUUUUAUUUUGCCAAAUGUAAUUUUAGGUUCCUGUUGUGAUGAUCAGUUGCACUCAGUUACUCCUUUAUCAUAUUCUAAAGCUAAGAGUUUUGUGUAGUAUACAUGGCUAAAUGACUAACAAUUCAAUCUCAUUGACACUAGAAGGCCUCGUGGCUACAUGAACCUUUCCUUCUCGUUUUCUUCUGAAACUUGCUGCUUUGCAAUGUCAAUCACAACUUCCCAAGGCAGAUACAUGUUAUAUUAGAGGAUUGCAACAUCCCAUG
Molecule: long non-coding RNA, 1071 nt
Filed under: Triticum aestivum (bread wheat)
Lineage: Eukaryota; Viridiplantae; Streptophyta; Magnoliopsida; Poales; Poaceae
Description: long non-coding RNA (TAES_LNC021039)
Source: RNAcentral